RNAcentral lists this ribosomal RNA (144 nucleotides) under uncultured eukaryote. RNAcentral's name for it is "partial 18S ribosomal RNA". It matches the Rfam family "Eukaryotic small subunit ribosomal RNA", at positions 1299 to 1458 of the family's 1831-position model. The record is from RNAcentral.
UGGUGGAGUGAUUUGUCUGGUUAAUUCCGAUAACGAACGAGACUCCGUCCUGCUAAAUAGUCGUCGCGUUGCUUUUUUCUUGCGCGACGGAUUCUUCUUAGAGGGACGUGGCGGCAUCUAGCCGCACGAGAUGGAGCAAUAACA